UGGGGAAUAUUGCACAAUGGGCGCAAGCCUGAUGCAGCCAUGCCGCGUGUGUGAAGAAGGCCUUCGGGUUGUAAAGCACUUUCAGCGAGGAGGAAGGGUGGUGUGUUAAUAGCGCAUCACAUUGACGUUACUCGCAGAAGAAGCACCGGCUAACUCCGUGCCAGCAGCCGCGGUAAUACGGAGGGUGCAAGCGUUAAUCGGAAUUACUGGGCGUAAAGCGCACGCAGGCUGUUUGUUAAGUCAGAUGUGAAAUCCCCGCGCUUAACGUGGGAACUGCAUUUGAAACUGGCAAGCUAGAGUCUUGUAGAGGGGGGUAGAAUUCCAGGUGUAGCGGUGAAAUGCGUAGAGAUCUGGAGGAAUACCGGUGGCGAAGGCGGCCCCCUGGACAAAGACUGACGCUCAGGUGCGAAAGCGUGGGGAGCAAACA
RNAcentral lists this ribosomal RNA (427 nucleotides) under uncultured bacterium. RNAcentral's name for it is "partial 16S ribosomal RNA". It matches the Rfam family "Bacterial small subunit ribosomal RNA", at positions 355 to 774 of the family's 1533-position model. The record is from RNAcentral.